RNAcentral lists this ribosomal RNA (254 nucleotides) under uncultured bacterium. RNAcentral describes it as "partial small subunit ribosomal RNA". It matches the Rfam family "Bacterial small subunit ribosomal RNA", at positions 26 to 285 of the family's 1533-position model. The record is from RNAcentral.
AGGACGAACGCUGGCGGCGUGCUUAACACAUGCAAGUCGAGCGGAAAGGCCCUUCGGGGUACUCGAGCGGCGAACGGGUGAGUAACACGUGAGUAAUCUGCCCCUAGCUCUGGGAUAGCUCCGGGAAACCGGGAUUAAUACCAGAUAUUACCACUUUAGACAUCUGUUGUGGUGGAAAGAAUUUUGGCUAGGGAUGAGCUCGCGGCCUAUCAGCUUGUUGGUGAGGUAACGGCUCACCAAGGCGACGACGGGUA